GUUUUACUUUGUCUGUGGGCUUUCUGGUUGCAAGAGGAGCCCAGGGUCCCCCAGGAAGUUCUCCUGUGGAGGCCUUGGGAGUGAGACAAUGCAGACAGGAGGCAGGAGGAGCAAGGGCGUGCAGGUGGAAGGAGUGAGGACAAAGCCACCCAUGCUGCUUGCACGGAGAAGCCUGAUGUGAAGAACUGACUCAUUGGAAAAGGCCCUGAUGCUGGGAAAGAUU
Long non-coding RNA from Bos indicus x Bos taurus (hybrid cattle), 223 nucleotides. Lineage: Eukaryota; Metazoa; Chordata; Mammalia; Artiodactyla; Bovidae. The record is from Ensembl.